GCUGGGCUGUGUUCGCUCUAAUUAGCUGAAAGAGCAGUAGAGUCCUGUACGAGCCCACCUCUUACAACUGGGAACCAGCUGAUCACCGCUUAAGUCUUUGAUUUUUUCCCCUUCACCUUCAUCUUCUGCACUGAUGGUGAAUACUGAUGAGGCAGUUCAUCUACAGACAAUCAUUUUCAGCAACAGACAAGAAACACUGAAACCAGCAAAUCUCAAGCCUAGAACAAAUCUUUUUUUAUAGUUUUUGGAGUUAUCAAUAACACCAUGUUGAAGAACAACGCAGAGAGAAAGAUCAGAGUGGUGUGUCAGUGACGGAUGGAUUUCUUUAGUGGUCCAGAUCAUCAUUCGACAUAAAUCAGUCAAGUGCUAAUGCAGCCCAUGGAGCUAUACCAAUUUUCUACAAUUUAGGAUGUUGUCCAGAUAUACAAGUGAAAUGUUUUGCUUCCAAACAUGGCUGACUAGUUUAAGGUUCCCAUUUCUGUUUGGACACCUACUAUAAUUCAGAUACCUAAAAUCCCAUUGUAAAUAUCAAGAGAAUUAACUGAAUUGCCCUAAUCCUUUCUUUGUG
Molecule: long non-coding RNA, 568 nt
Organism: Alligator sinensis (Chinese alligator)
Lineage: Eukaryota; Metazoa; Chordata; Crocodylia; Alligatoridae
Exons: 4
Source: RefSeq, a predicted model, not a curated record